This is a small nuclear RNA of Sciurus carolinensis (gray squirrel), 107 nucleotides long. Lineage: Eukaryota; Metazoa; Chordata; Mammalia; Rodentia; Sciuridae. The record is from RefSeq and is a predicted model, not a curated record.
AUGCUCACUUCGGCAGCACAUAUACCAAAAUUUGAACAAUACAGAAAACAGUAGUGUGGCCCCUGUGCAAGGAUGACAUGAAAAUUCAUGCAUUUUCAUAUUUUUUA